This 119-nucleotide ribosomal RNA is filed under the name Pteropus alecto (black flying fox). The record is from RNAcentral. Lineage: Eukaryota; Metazoa; Chordata; Mammalia; Chiroptera; Pteropodidae.
GUCCAUGGCCAUGCCACCCUGGACAAGCCUGAUCUCGUCUGAUCUCGGAAGCUAAGCAGGGUCGGGCCUGGUUAGUACUUGGAUGGGAGACCACCUAGGAAGACCAGGUGCGGUAGGCA